Molecule: RNase P RNA, 385 nt
Filed under: Akkermansia sp.
Lineage: Bacteria; Pseudomonadati; Verrucomicrobiota; Verrucomicrobiia; Verrucomicrobiales; Akkermansiaceae
Description: RNase P RNA component class A
Rfam family: Bacterial RNase P class A
About the family: Ribonuclease P (RNase P) is a ubiquitous endoribonuclease, found in archaea, bacteria and eukarya as well as chloroplasts and mitochondria.
Source: RNAcentral
GUCCGGGUCCGGGUGGUCGCUGCGGGUAUCAAGCCCCGUAGAGGAAAGUCUGGACAUCGCAAGGCAGCGCGUCCUGUGAAAGCAGGAGACACCCGGAGCCAAUGCCGGGUGGACGGAAAGUGCCACAGAAAACAAACCGCCCGCAAGGGUAAGGGUGAAAAGGUGGGGUAAGAGCCCACCGCUCCGGAGGUGACGAUGGAGGCAUGGAAAACCCCGCGCGAUGCAAGACAAACAGGGAAAGGGUAGCCUGCCCGCUGUAUUCCCGGGUAUUAGUUGCACCCUGCUAUAAACGCAGGGCACGCCUGGUAACAGGCGCGAGAAAAAUGGCCACACAGCCCGCCUCUGCGCGGGUGGACAGAAUCUGGCUUACAGGGCCCGGACGACA